RNAcentral lists this long non-coding RNA (793 nucleotides) under Mus spicilegus (steppe mouse). Its description in RNAcentral is "lncRNA (ENSMSIG00000007154.1)". Lineage: Eukaryota; Metazoa; Chordata; Mammalia; Rodentia; Muridae. The record is from RNAcentral.
AAUUGCCUCUAACCACAACCAAGAAAGGUGAUCAUCAUCCCACAGAAGAUAAACUACACCUCCUUAAAACUCCUCCUCAAAACACUACCACCCUCAGACUGUCUGCCCUUCCCAAAAUCUGAUUAUGUGCGCAAUGAUUCAUUCCAGGCACUCUGUGAAUUAGUUAUUUCCAACAUACAUAAAGGAAAAUCUGCAUCUGGAGAAAUAGUCCCUAAUGAGCCCCCCAACUCUAUAAUCUUUUAAAAAUUCUUAUAUAAGGCUGUAUUUGUGGCUAUUUAUAACUUUUAAACAAUGAUAUCAUAAAAAUUUCAGAGCCCAACAGAACACAAAGCCAAGGUCACUGAACAGUUGAUCCUGUUGAACCAGCUCUUCUAGACGUCUUGGAGGAGAGAAUGAACUUACCAGAUUCAUUUAAGGGAUCAUCAGCCCCCAGAACAGCUGAGAUUGCAGGACUACAAAAUCCAAGACAGGAGGUAAAAACAGUAUCAUCUAGGGAUCCAAACAUAUUGCAACAUUUACUAUCUUAGCAUCCCCAAGAGCUGAGCCUGGAAAGCAGCAAGUAUCCAGUGUCAGUUCUUUUGCAUUCCAUCCUGUUAUCUACCACAAGCACACUGCCUUCACUGGAAUACACGCCGCAGUUCUCACCAAGCUAGUCACCUGACAGCCAGACUCUAUUCUGCUGACACACGUUAUGUACUAAAAAGUAAAUUCUAGAAGAAUCUUUUAACUGCAAGUGAAAGUGAAUUAACUUAUCUCUACCUUAAAUAAAAUAUUAUGAUUGAAUGCUAUGGGG